GUGAGUGCUGCGCAGGUGUACCAGGA
RNAcentral lists this unclassified non-coding RNA (26 nucleotides) under Mus musculus (house mouse). RNAcentral describes it as "oocyte_clustered_small_RNA12215". Lineage: Eukaryota; Metazoa; Chordata; Mammalia; Rodentia; Muridae. The record is from RNAcentral.